UGCCAGCAGCCGCGGUAAUACGGAGGGUGCAAGUGUUAAUCGGAAUUACUGGGCGUAAAGCGCGCGUAGGCGGCUUGUUAAGUCGGAUGUGAAAGCCCAGGGCUCAACCUUGGAAUUGCACUCGAUACUGGCAAGCUAGAGUACGAGAGAGGGUGGUAGAAUUUCUAGUGUAGCGGUGAAAUGCGUAGAUAUUAGAAGGAAUACCGGUGGCGAAGGCGGCCACCUGGCUCGAUACUGACGCUGAGGUGCGAAAGCGUGGGGAGCAAACAGGAUUAGAUA
This 279-nucleotide ribosomal RNA is filed under the name uncultured bacterium. Its description in RNAcentral is "partial 16S ribosomal RNA". It matches the Rfam family "Bacterial small subunit ribosomal RNA", at positions 506 to 784 of the family's 1533-position model. The record is from RNAcentral.